This 392-nucleotide ribosomal RNA is filed under the name uncultured bacterium. Its description in RNAcentral is "partial 16S ribosomal RNA". It matches the Rfam family "Bacterial small subunit ribosomal RNA", at positions 523 to 918 of the family's 1533-position model. The record is from RNAcentral.
AUACGGAGGAUCGGAGCGUUAUCCGGAUUUAUUGGGUUUAAAGGGUGCGCAGGCGGCCAUUUAAGUCAGCGGUUAAAUCGUGGGGCUCAACCCCAUUCUGCCGUUGAUACUGGGUGGCUUGAUUGCGGUCGAGGUUGGCGGAAUUCGUUGUGUAGCGGUGAAAUGCAUAGAUAUGACGAAGAACACCGAUUGCGUAGGCAGCUGACCAGACCGCAAAUGACGCUCAUGCACGAAAGUGCGGGGAUCGAACAGGAUUAGAUACCCUGGUAGUCCGCACAGUAAACGAUGAAUACUUGUUUUCGGCGAUAUAAUGUCGGAGGCAAAGCGAAAGCGAUAAGUAUUCCACCUGGGGAGUACGCCGGCAACGGUGAAACUCAAAGGAAUUGACGGGG